CAGCCGUAAACUAUGCGCGUUAGGUGUAUCGGUGACCACGAGUUACCGAGGCGCCGAAGGGAAACCGUGAAACGUGCCGCCUGGGAAGUACGGUCGCAAGGCUGAAACUUAAAGGAAUUGGCGGGGGAGCACCACAACAGGUGGAGCCUGCGGUUUAAUUUGGACUCAACGCCGGGAAGCUCACCGGAUAGGACAGCAGAAUGAUUGCCGGGCUGAAGACCCUGCAUGACUAGCUGAGAGGAGGGUGCAUGGCGUAGACGUCCU
This 264-nucleotide ribosomal RNA is filed under the name uncultured archaeon. RNAcentral describes it as "partial 16S ribosomal RNA". It matches the Rfam family "Archaeal small subunit ribosomal RNA", at positions 748 to 1010 of the family's 1478-position model. The record is from RNAcentral.